This 90-nucleotide transfer RNA is filed under the name Aphanochaete elegans. RNAcentral describes it as "tRNA-Ser". It matches the Rfam family "tRNA". From Rfam's summary of the family: Transfer RNA (tRNA) molecules are approximately 80 nucleotides in length. The record is from RNAcentral. Lineage: Eukaryota; Viridiplantae; Chlorophyta; Chlorophyceae; Chaetophorales; Aphanochaetaceae.
GGAAAGAUGACCGAGUGGUUUAAGGUGCGGAUCUGGAACAUCCGUGUAGUUUUUAUUUAACUACCGAGGGUUCGAAUCCCUCUCUUUCCG